Peniophora sp. CONT is the source of this 95-nucleotide non-coding RNA. Lineage: Eukaryota; Fungi; Basidiomycota; Agaricomycetes; Russulales; Peniophoraceae. The record is from the annotation of a GenBank genome assembly.
CCCCCGAUAGCUCAACGGUAGAGCGCAAGACCCGUAUACAAUGCUUUGAUCCAGACGUUGUCUUGAGGACGCUGGAUCAACACCAGCUCGGGGGU